ACGGGUGUAGCUCAGUUGGUAGAGCAGCGGUCUCCAAAACCGCGGGUCGUGAGUUCGAGUCUUGCCACCCGUG
Molecule: transfer RNA, 73 nt
Filed under: Bacteroidales bacterium
Lineage: Bacteria; Pseudomonadati; Bacteroidota; Bacteroidia; Bacteroidales
Description: tRNA-Trp
Rfam family: tRNA
About the family: Transfer RNA (tRNA) molecules are approximately 80 nucleotides in length. Their secondary structure includes four short double-helical elements and three loops (D, anti-codon, and T loops).
Source: RNAcentral